UGGUUUAAGAGAUGUUUGAGUGCAAAUCAAAUGAGGGGCUUGAAAUGGCCCUUAAGCCU
RNAcentral lists this transfer RNA (59 nucleotides) under Tympanocryptis intima. RNAcentral describes it as "tRNA-Cys". The record is from RNAcentral. Lineage: Eukaryota; Metazoa; Chordata; Lepidosauria; Squamata; Agamidae.